AUGCCAUCAGAAACACUUUUGCAACCAAACCACAGGCCAUCAGACGACCCCGUCCAACGCCCCACCUUACCAGGCCCACACCCGCGGCUAGAGGAAUCGUCAGCGCAUCGACGUCUGGCCGAAGGACAAAAUCCCCACAUAGCAUGGUCGUCGUCGUCGCAUCGUCGACCAGGUGGAGGAAUGAAAGACUCACAAGAUAUGUGGACCCACGAGCACCAAAAGCCGCCAAAUCGACGACGAAGCCCUAGAAGACGUUGUCGCGGAGGGGAUGGCAAGGCGGCACGCUUAUUCUCCCCGAUAGCAUCUCCGCCUCCACAUCACCGCCAUAUUGGCGAUGAAGCCCCAGAAGACACCGUCGCGGAGGGGAUGGCGAGGUGGCGCACAUCUUCUCCCCGACAUCAUCUCCGCCUCCACAUCGCCGUCGACCAAAAACCUAACUACACCCACGUCAAAGCAGAGAUCCGGGGUUUUCCCACCCUAUAA
This 483-nucleotide ribosomal RNA is filed under the name Triticum aestivum (bread wheat). Its description in RNAcentral is "partial small subunit ribosomal RNA". Lineage: Eukaryota; Viridiplantae; Streptophyta; Magnoliopsida; Poales; Poaceae. The record is from RNAcentral.